UGCUCCAUAGCUCAAUGGCAGAGCGUUCGGUUGUUAACCGCAGGGUUGUAGGUUCAAAUCCUACUGGAGCAGCCA
This 75-nucleotide transfer RNA is filed under the name Leptolyngbyaceae cyanobacterium LF-bin-113. Its description in RNAcentral is "tRNA-Asn". It matches the Rfam family "tRNA". From Rfam's summary of the family: Transfer RNA (tRNA) molecules are approximately 80 nucleotides in length. Their secondary structure includes four short double-helical elements and three loops (D, anti-codon, and T loops). Further hydrogen bonds mediate the characteristic L-shaped molecular structure. tRNAs have two regions of fundamental functional importance: the anti-codon, which is responsible for specific mRNA codon recognition, and the 3' end, to which the tRNAs corresponding amino acid is attached (by aminoacyl-tRNA synthetases). tRNAs cope with the degeneracy of the genetic code in two manners: having more than one tRNA (with a specific anti-codon) for a particular amino acid; and 'wobble' base-pairing, i.e. permitting non-standard base-pairing at the 3rd anti-codon position. The record is from RNAcentral. Lineage: Bacteria; Bacillati; Cyanobacteriota; Cyanophyceae; Leptolyngbyales; Leptolyngbyaceae.